Hordeum vulgare subsp. vulgare (domesticated barley) is the source of this 125-nucleotide non-coding RNA. Lineage: Eukaryota; Viridiplantae; Streptophyta; Magnoliopsida; Poales; Poaceae. The record is from Rfam.
UAUAUACUCCCUCCGUCCGAAAAUACUUGUCAUAGGAAUGUACGUAUCUACAUGUAUUUUAGUUCUAGAUACAUUCAUUUUUAUCUAUUUGUGUGACAAGUAAUUUCCGACGGAGGGAGUAUAUC